UUUCCGUAGGUGAACCUGCGGAAGGAUCAUUACCGAGUUAGGGUCUUCUAGGCCCGAUCUCCAACCCUGUGUAUAUAUAACUUCGUUGCUUUGACAGGCCUGUCUUUGACCAGACUGCCGGGGGUCCCCUGGACCGCUGGAGAGUGCCUGUCAGUAGCCCCCAUUUUAAAUUCUUGAAUAAUCGUGACCUCUGAGUUGAGACAAGAAAUAGUUAAAAACUUUCAACAACGGAUCUCUUGGUUCUGGCAUCGAUGAAGAACGCAGC
Molecule: unclassified non-coding RNA, 265 nt
Filed under: uncultured fungus
Lineage: Eukaryota; Fungi
Description: sequence contains ITS1, 5.8S rRNA gene
Rfam family: 5.8S ribosomal RNA (bases 217-265)
Source: RNAcentral